GCGCCUCGAUGCAAGUGCGCAGCAAUGUUCCGGGCGCGAGCAGCGUGUGCUUUAUUUGUGUCUUUUCGACUUUUGUGCGGUUGACCAUGGCCCAACUAGAAAGUACUGGCUUUCUAUCUUGAAUCCGGUGGCCCCAGAAGCAGGUGCUGGCAACCAGGCCAUGCACUUUUGGUCAUUAAUUAGUGUGUGAUACUACGUCUUACUAAUCAGUUUUAUUAUUUUUAAUUAUAAUUGUGGCACUGUGCCUACUCGUUACUUGUGUUUUAAUAAAGUUUAAUUUUCAAGAAUCUGUUUUUGAUUACGCGUUUUUUUUUAGAUCCGCGUUCAACCUGUUUGUAUACAGCGAGAACAUGUAAUGAAUAAUUUCAUACAUGUGCGUGGCUGGAGGCCGAUCAUUUUUGUAAUAAAGCUUUAUCAGUUGUAUAAAUAAAAAAGUAACAUUGGUAUGA
This is a long non-coding RNA of Dermacentor silvarum, 449 nucleotides long. RefSeq lists it as uncharacterized. The record is from RefSeq and is a predicted model, not a curated record. The transcript is spliced from 2 exons. Lineage: Eukaryota; Metazoa; Arthropoda; Arachnida; Ixodida; Ixodidae.